AGUGAACGCUGGCGGUAGGCCUAACACAUGCAAGUCGAACGGCAGCACAGUAAGAGCUUGCUCUUACGGGUGGCGAGUGGCGGACGGGUGAGGAAUACAUCGGAAUCUACUUUUUCGUGGGGGAUAACGUAGGGAAACUUACGCUAAUACCGCAUACGACCUACGGGUGAAAGCAGGGGAUCUUCGGACCUUGCGCGAUUGAAUGAGCCGAUGUCGGAUUAGCUAGUUGGCGGGGUAAGGGCCCACCAAGGCGACGAUCCGUAGCUGGUCUGAGAGGAUGAUCAGCCACACUGGAACUGAGACACGGUCCAGACUCCUACGGGAGGCAGCAGUGGGGAAUAUUGGACAAUGGGCGCAAGCCUGAUCCAGCCAUACCGCGUGGGUGUAGAAGGCCUUCGGGUUGUAAAGCCCUUUUGUUGGGAAAGAAAAGCAGCAGGUUAAUACCCCGCUGUUCUGACGGUACCCAAAGAAUAAGCACCGGCUAACUUCGUG
RNAcentral lists this ribosomal RNA (492 nucleotides) under uncultured bacterium. RNAcentral's name for it is "partial 16S ribosomal RNA". It matches the Rfam family "Bacterial small subunit ribosomal RNA", at positions 29 to 507 of the family's 1533-position model. The record is from RNAcentral.